This 21-nucleotide non-coding RNA is filed under the name Mus musculus (house mouse). RNAcentral also lists the same sequence under 1 other name. Lineage: Eukaryota; Metazoa; Chordata; Mammalia; Rodentia; Muridae. The record is from RNAcentral.
UCACUCAGUAAGUGCUAGCUA